CGGAAAACUGGGGAUAAUGCCGGAUAGAUCAGAGAGGCUGGAAUGCACGGGGAGCCAAAGCGGGUGUGCCUAAGGAGGAGUCUGCGGGCUAUCAGGUUGUAGUGGGUGUAACGUACCUACUAGCCUACGACGGAUACGGGUUGUGGGAGCAAGAGCCCGGAGAUGGAUUCUGAGACAGGAAUCCAGGCCCUACGGGGCGCAGCAGGCGCGAAAACUUUACAAUGCAGGAAACUGCGAUAAGGGGACACCGAGUGCCAGCCUCCUCUGUUGGCUGUCCGCAUGUUUACAUCACAUGUGUUCGCAAGGGCCGGGCAAGACCGGUGCCAGCCGCCGCGGUAACA
Molecule: ribosomal RNA, 341 nt
Filed under: uncultured archaeon
Lineage: Archaea
Description: partial 16S ribosomal RNA
Rfam family: Archaeal small subunit ribosomal RNA
Source: RNAcentral